GAACGAACGCUGGCGGCGUGCCUAACACAUGCAAGUCGAACGUGAUUAGAGAGCUUGCUCUCUAUGAAAGUGGCGCACGGGUGAGUAACGCGUAGAUAAUCUGCCUGGUGAUCCGGGAUAACACCUCGAAAGGGGUGCUAAUACCUGAUAAGCCCACGGUGUCCUUGGACGCUGCGGGAAAAGGGGGGGACCUUCGGGCCUUCCGUCACCAGAUGAGUCUGCGUACCAUUAGCUAGUUGGUAGGGUAAAGGCCUACCAAGGCGAUGAUGGUUAGCUGGUCUGAGAGGAUGAUCAGCCACACUGGAACUGAGACACGGUCCAGACUCCUACGGGAGGCAGCAGUGGGGAAUUUUGCGCAAUGGGGGAAACCCUGACGCAGCAACGCCGCGUGAGUGAUGAAGGCUCUUGGGUCGUAAAGCUCUGACAGAGGGAAAGAAGUGUACGGGGGCUAAUAUCCCUUGUACUUGACGGUACCCUCAAAGGAAGCACCGGCUAACUCCGUGCCAGCAGCCGCGGUAAUACGGGGGGUGCAAGCGUUGUUCGGAUUUAUUGGGCGUAAAGCGCGUGUAGGCGGUUUGUUAAGUCUGUUGUGAAAGCCCUGGGCUCAACCCGGGAAGUGCACUGGAUACUGGCAAACUUGAAUACGGGAGAGGAGAGUGGAAUUCCUGGUGUAGGAGUGAAAUCCGUAGAUAUCAGGAGGAGCACCGGUGGCGAAUGCGGCUCUAUGGACCGAUAUUGACGAUGAGACGCGAAAGCGUGGGUAGCAAACAGGAUUAGAUACCCUGGUAGUCCACGCCGUAAACGAUGAGUACUAGGUGUUGCGGGUAUUGACCCCUGCAGUGCCGCAGCUAACGCAUUAAGUACUCCGCCUGGGAAGUACGGUCGCAAGACUAAAACUCAAA
Molecule: ribosomal RNA, 902 nt
Filed under: uncultured bacterium
Lineage: Bacteria
Description: bacterial SSU rRNA
Rfam family: Bacterial small subunit ribosomal RNA
Source: RNAcentral